Molecule: unclassified non-coding RNA, 1794 nt
Filed under: Aphidius gifuensis
Lineage: Eukaryota; Metazoa; Arthropoda; Insecta; Hymenoptera; Braconidae
Description: uncharacterized LOC122859524, transcript variant X2
Source: RNAcentral
AGUCACGACCCAGGCUCAUAUUAGGUUGGGUCAUUAAAAUGGUUUGCGGCUAGAGUGAGGCUGGCAGAAAAAAAUCACGACAAUAACAUGUUUGUGUGACUAUACGCAGGCAAACUUUCUAUCAUAUGUAUUAUUGGAUUAUCACGCAUGCACUGAAUGAUCCUCGUGAUUUUCUUUUGUCAGUUUCACUUUAUGCCUUUUUUAGAAUUGUUAUCAGCCGAAAUCAUGUAUUGUUCUGACAGUAGUUAGACGGUAAGACAGAGGCAAAAACAGGAUGUGACACUGAAUUGAACGAAAUAUCUUUUAAAUGGUAGUCUUUAGGACCCAGAACACGUUGCACCUAUUUCCAAUCAUUUUUAUUGUCUGCCGUCCACAGGUAAGCCAGAGGAAACGGACAUAGAUAUAGACAUAGAAACAUUGGAAGAAUUACCUGGAAGAAUAUCAUCUUCUGCUGCAGAAAAAAAAAUCACACCACAUAAGACUGGGAGUUUUUCAAGUAGAAUAAAAAGCCCUCUAUUUCGUUAUAGUCCACCGCUGAAUAUUCCUAACAAGCAUAAAAAAAAAAGGGCAACUACCAAAAAAAAAACAAAAAAAAAUUUGACUUUGUCACCUCAAAAAGUGCCAAUACCGGAAAUUACUAAAAUUUUUUUAAAGCCAAUGCCAUCGUUGAUUGAAAUUGCUUCUCUUACUUCCGAUGAUGAAGACCCUCUGAGUACUUGUGAUAAUAUUAAUUCAACUCAAAAACAAUAUAAAUAUAGAUUCAUUGACCAGCAUAAUAGAGGGAAAUGUUUGAAAGAACGUCAACGCCGAAAUGAAUUGAUGAUGGCAUUUCAGAAGUUGAGAUGUCUCCUGCCGGCUAUUAAAUCAAAUAAAAACGCAACAAAAGUUUUAAUUUUAACGGAAGCAACAAAUUAUUGUCGACUAUUGAUGAAAACUGAAAAAAAAAAAAUUUCAAUGUUACGACAGUUGAAUGAUUAUCACAUCAAUCUUUCAGUAACACUCAUUGAAUUGAAACGAGAUUUAAAUAUUAAAUGAGACAAAGUGAAGAAUUAAAAUUUGUUUUAUAUUUUUAUAUACUUUUUAAGUUGGAAAUUUCAUUAAGGAAAUUAUAAUCGUUAACAUAAAAAUUUUAUUUAGAAUUAUAGAAAUUACAUUGUCAAUUGUAAAAAAAAAAUAAUUAGAACUUUUAUAUAAAAUUCAUGUUGAAAUAUAUUUUUGCAUUACAUUCUUAAUGAAAAUAGCCUGAUCCAAUCCGCACCAGGAUUUGAUGGAACUAAAAAUAUUUGUAAAACAAAUAAAUUUUCAUAUUUUCAUCUUGAUUAAGUCCCGAUCCAGAUUGGAUCAGGUUAUCGCUUUUAAGGAUGUGACAGAGCUGGCUUAAUCGAUUUAAAUCAAGCUAGCCAAACCACAAGUGAUAGCUUGAUUCUAUCCGAAUCAGGACUCGAUCAAGGUAAAAAUAUUUAGAGACUGAAUGAAUUUGAUAUUUUUAUCUUGAUUAAGUCCUGAUCCGGGAAAAAUAUUUAAAUAUUAUUUAUAAAUCAUUUAACAUAUAGCUUUAUUCUUCAAAUGCUUUUUACCAUCAAGAUUUAUGACUUGUCUAUUUUGCCAUUUGUUUGUCGUUUGUGUGUCGGUUUUGUGUGAGAUCAGUGAACGAACCGACUGUCGUCAUCGGUAGUUAUAUUCGCUAGAACAUAUCGCGGUGGCUUUAAGAGUAAAAAUAAAAAUUUCGAAAAUUUGGUUUUUCUGGGCUAUUGCCAACGGUUGUUUAUAUACAUACGUUUGUAUAUAUAGAUA